Molecule: unclassified non-coding RNA, 200 nt
Filed under: uncultured Coprinopsis
Lineage: Eukaryota; Fungi; Basidiomycota; Agaricomycetes; Agaricales; Psathyrellaceae
Description: sequence contains ITS2
Source: RNAcentral
UUAAGUUCAGCGGGUAGUCUUACCUGAUUUGAGGUCAAAAAUGUCAAUUGUUGUCCGGUAAGGGACGGUUAGAAGCAGGUUCAUAAUAGUCUUCCAGUCCACGGCGUAGAUAAUUAUCACACCAAUAGAUAGGGGACCAAACCCACUAAUACAUUUCAGAGGAGCAGACCACAGAGUGGACCUGCAACCCCCACAUCCAA